RNAcentral lists this ribosomal RNA (460 nucleotides) under uncultured bacterium. Its description in RNAcentral is "SSU rRNA". It matches the Rfam family "Bacterial small subunit ribosomal RNA", at positions 26 to 518 of the family's 1533-position model. The record is from RNAcentral.
AGAAUCAACGCUGGCGGCGUGCCUAACACAUGCAAGUCGAACGAGAAAGUGGAGCAAUCCAUUAGUAAAGUGGCGCACGGGUGAGUAACACGUGACUAACCUACCUUUUAGUGGGGGAUAACCUAGGGAAACCUGGGCUAAUACCGCAUAAUACCUACGGGUCAAAGCAGCAAUGCGCUGAAAGAGGGGGUCGCGGUCGAUUAGUUAGUUGGAAGGGUAAUGGCCUACCAAGACUGUGAUCGAUAUCCGGCCUGAGAGGGCGCACGGACACACUGGAACUGAAACACGGUCCAGACUCCUACGGGAGGCAGCAGUGGGGAAUUUUGCGCAAUGGGGGAAACCCUGACGCAGCAACGCCGCGUGGAGGAUGAAGUCCCUUGGGACGUAAACUCCUUUCGAUCGGGACGAUAAUGACGGUACCGGAAGAAGAAGCCCCGGCUAACUUCGCGCCAGCAGCCGC